This 427-nucleotide ribosomal RNA is filed under the name uncultured bacterium. Its description in RNAcentral is "bacterial LSU rRNA". It matches the Rfam family "Bacterial large subunit ribosomal RNA", at positions 2044 to 2473 of the family's 2925-position model. The record is from RNAcentral.
GUAGCCGUGGUGAAGAUGCCACGUACCGCGAUUAGACGGAAAGACCCGUGAACCUUUACUGCAGGUUGUCAUUGGGUGAAUGUUCGUUCUGUGUAGCAUAGGUGGGAGGCUACGAUCUGGCGGCGCCAGCCGUCAGGGAGCCAUCGGUGAAAUACCACCCUGAAUGUGCGUUCAUCCUCACCGGUCGACAUCCUCGACCGGGACAGUGAUCAUCGGGCAGUUUGACUGGGGCGGUCUCCUCCUAAAGAGUAACGGAGGAGUGCAAUGGUACCCUCGGCCAGGUCGGCAAUCUGGCAACACGAGCGCAAACGUAUAAGGGUGCCUGACUGCGAGUCCGAUAAGACGAGCAGAGACGAAAGUCGGCGUUAGUGAUCCGGCGGUCCAAUAUGGAAUGGCCGUCGCUCAACAGAUAAAAGGUACUCCGGAG